CACGCCGGCCGCGCGAGUCCCUGUACCGGUCUCUCCGGUCGUCCUUCCGUUUGUCGCCUUUGUCGCCAUCCUUGCAGAAGUGGUACGUCUUGGACGGAGGGGGCGGAUGAUGCGGGAACGUGUCGAAGAGGCGGCUGGGCACCUCCGCACCGUCCGCGACCCCAGGUGCCGCUGCGGCAGCCGGCGUUUUGCCGGCGUCAGGCGCCGUUUUGGUCGACCGUCGCGCGGGUGUAGUCGUGGAUUUCGUCGAGGUGGACGUAGACGCAAUAUUCGCGGCCGUGUUGCCUGUGUUCCGGCGGUGUUUCCGUCACGAGGACAGACUCGAGCUGCCUGUCCCGAGCCCUAGGUUAGCCGGACAUUCUUGGCUAUGGCGCUCGCCGUCCAUGCCCACAAGUCUAUCGUCUCCAUCUCUGCAGGGCACAUAAUGUUGGUCUC
RNAcentral lists this long non-coding RNA (435 nucleotides) under Setaria italica (foxtail millet). RNAcentral's name for it is "long non-coding RNA (SITA_LNC006931)". The record is from RNAcentral. Lineage: Eukaryota; Viridiplantae; Streptophyta; Magnoliopsida; Poales; Poaceae.